UGGGCACUCGAGGCCCCUAAAGGUCCGUUGAAGACCACAACGUGGAUAGGCGGGGUGUGGAAGCGUGGUAACACGUGCAGCUUACCCGUACUAAUUGACCGUGCGGCUUGACCAUAUAACACCCAAG
Molecule: ribosomal RNA, 127 nt
Filed under: Allochromatium humboldtianum
Lineage: Bacteria; Pseudomonadati; Pseudomonadota; Gammaproteobacteria; Chromatiales; Chromatiaceae
Description: partial 23S ribosomal RNA
Rfam family: Bacterial large subunit ribosomal RNA
Source: RNAcentral